CCUACGGGUUGCACCAGUGGGGAAUUUUGGACAAUGGGCGAAAGCCUGAUCCAGCAAUGCCGCGUGCAGGAUGAAGGCCCUCGGGUUGUAAACUGCUUUUGUACGGAACGAAAAGCCUGGGGCUAAUAUCCUCGGGUCAUGACGGUACCGUAAGAAUAAGCACCGGCUAACUACGUGCCAGCAGCCGCGGUAAUACGUAGGGUGCAAGCGUUAAUCGGAAUUACUGGGCGUAAAGCGUGCGCAGGCGGUUUUGUAAGACAGUGGUGAAAUCCCCGGGCUCAACCUGGGAACUGCCAUUGUGACUGCAAGGCUAG
Molecule: ribosomal RNA, 314 nt
Filed under: uncultured bacterium
Lineage: Bacteria
Description: bacterial SSU rRNA
Rfam family: Bacterial small subunit ribosomal RNA
Source: RNAcentral